UACGUAGGUAGCAAGCGUUGUUCGGAUUUACUGGGCGUAAAGGGCGCGUAGGCGGUCGUGACAAGUCACUUGUGAAAUCUCCGGGCUUAACUCGGAACGGUCAAGUGAUACUGUCGGACUAGAGUACAGAAGGGGCAACUGGAAUUCUCGGUGUAGCGGUGAAAUGCGUAGAUAUCGAGAGGAACACCUGCGGCGAAGGCGGGUUGCUGGGCUGAUACUGACGCUGAGGCGCGAAAGCCAGGGGAGCGAACGGG
Molecule: ribosomal RNA, 254 nt
Filed under: uncultured bacterium
Lineage: Bacteria
Description: partial 16S ribosomal RNA
Rfam family: Bacterial small subunit ribosomal RNA
Source: RNAcentral